CACGUAGGGGGCAAGCGUUGUCCGGAUUUAUUGGGCGUAAAGAGCUCGUAGGCGGUUCGGUAAGUCGGGUGUGAAACCUCCAGGCUCAACCUGGAGUCGCCACUCGAUACUGCUGUGACUAGAGUCCGGUAGGGGAGCGUGGAAUUCCUGGUGUAGCGGUGAAAUGCGCAGAUAUCAGGAGGAACACCAGCGGCGAAGGCGGCGCUCUGGGCCGGAACUGACGCUGAGGCGCGAAAGCGUGGGGAGCAAACGGG
Molecule: ribosomal RNA, 254 nt
Filed under: uncultured bacterium
Lineage: Bacteria
Description: partial 16S ribosomal RNA
Rfam family: Bacterial small subunit ribosomal RNA
Source: RNAcentral